UACGUAGGGGGCUAGCGUUAUCCGGAAUUGCUGGGCGUAAAGGGUGCGUAGGUGGUUUCUUAAGUCAGAGGUGAAAGGCUACGGCUCAACCGUAGUAAGCCUUUGAAACUGGGAAACUUGAGUGCAGGAGAGGAGAGUGGAAUUCCUAGUGUAGCGGUGAAAUGCGUAGAUAUUAGGAGGAAUACCAGUUGCGAAGGCGACUUACUGGGCUGUAACUGACGCUGAGGUGCGAAAGCGUGGGGAGCAAACAGGAUUAGAUACCCGUGUAGUCCCUGAGCGGG
RNAcentral lists this ribosomal RNA (281 nucleotides) under uncultured prokaryote. Its description in RNAcentral is "partial 16S ribosomal RNA". It matches the Rfam family "Bacterial small subunit ribosomal RNA", at positions 524 to 803 of the family's 1533-position model. The record is from RNAcentral.